CCGUCUGGGCAGUGGCGGACGGGUGAGUAACGCGUAGGUAUCUAUCUUUGGGUGGGGGACAACCGUGGGAAACUACGGCUAAUACCGCAUGACGACCGAGGUCCAAAGGCGCAAGUCGCCUGGGGAGGAGCCUGCGUCCGAUUAGCUUGUUGGUGGGGUAACGGCCUACCAAGGCGACGAUCGGUAGCUGGUCUGAGAGGAUGAUCAGCCACACUGGGACUGAGACACGGCCCAG
RNAcentral lists this ribosomal RNA (235 nucleotides) under uncultured bacterium. RNAcentral's name for it is "partial 16S ribosomal RNA". It matches the Rfam family "Bacterial small subunit ribosomal RNA", at positions 84 to 334 of the family's 1533-position model. The record is from RNAcentral.